This is a long non-coding RNA of Silurus meridionalis, 707 nucleotides long. RefSeq lists it as uncharacterized. Lineage: Eukaryota; Metazoa; Chordata; Actinopteri; Siluriformes; Siluridae. The transcript is spliced from 3 exons. The record is from RefSeq and is a predicted model, not a curated record.
CAUAUAUAUAUAUAUAUAUAUAUAUAUAUAUAUAUAUAUAGUCGACUGGUUGUUUAGCUGCUAAUUCUUAAAUACCAUAAUUUUUUAACCUUCACUUCUGCACAUUACUCUUUAAUGCCAUAGCCUCAGAACCAUUCCUGUACUCUAAAUUGAUGUCCACACGUCUCUACACUGUUACUGACUUUAUAUUUAUUCACUUUACAUAUGUUUACAUAUUUAUCACUUGCUGUAAAUAUGCCAUAUAUUUAUCUGCACUUUUGCACGACUGCUACAUUUUGCACUUCUGGUAGAUGCCAAACUGCAUUUCGUUGCUGUGUACCUGUACUAUGCAAUGACAAUGAAGUUCUGUCUAUCUAUGUAUAUAUGGGACAUUCCACUGCACAAGACCUGCUGUCGCAUCUCAAAGAAUGUAUGGACAGACUGAACCUCAGGGACUUGGUGUCCAUUUCAGUGGAUGGGCCCAGUGUGAAUUGGAAACUCUUCGACCUUUUCCAGAAAGAUCAUGCUGAGCAGUAUGGAGGUGCUCAGCUCUUUUGUGUGGGUUCAAGUGUGGGUUCACUGCAUGGCAGCUGGACAAGUUGCUGAAAGCAAUGCACACAUUGGUCUUCAAUGUGUCCGCCAGGAGAGAGGAUUACAUCACAGUAACUAAGUCUACUGUGUUCCUCCUUUCUUCCUGUGCCCAUCGUUGGGUGGAAAACCUUCCAGUU